UGGGGAAUAUUGCACAAUGGGCGCAAGCCUGAUGCAGCCAUGCCGCGUGUGUGAAGAAGGCCUUCUGGUUGUAAAGCACUUUCAGCGGGGAGGAAGGCGAUAAGGUUAAUAACCUUGUCGAUUGACGUUACCCGCAGAAGAAGCACCGGCUAACUCCGUGCCAGCAGCCGCGGUAAUACGGAGGGUGCAAGCGUUAAUCGGAAUUACUGGGCGUAAAGCGCACGCAGGCGGUCUGUCAAGUCGGAUGUGAAAUCCCCGGGCUUAACCUGGGAACUGCAUUCGAAACUGGCAGGCUAGAGUCUUGUAGAGGGGGGUAGAAUUCCAGGUGUAGCGGUGAAAUGCGUAGAGAUCUGGAGGAAUACCGGUGGCGAAGGCGGCCCCCUGGACAAAGACUGACGCUCAGGUGCGAAAGCGUGGGGAGCAAACAGG
This 429-nucleotide ribosomal RNA is filed under the name Chloroflexota bacterium. Its description in RNAcentral is "Chloroflexi bacterium partial 16S ribosomal RNA". It matches the Rfam family "Bacterial small subunit ribosomal RNA", at positions 355 to 776 of the family's 1533-position model. The record is from RNAcentral. Lineage: Bacteria; Bacillati; Chloroflexota.